This 292-nucleotide ribosomal RNA is filed under the name uncultured bacterium. Its description in RNAcentral is "partial 16S ribosomal RNA". It matches the Rfam family "Bacterial small subunit ribosomal RNA", at positions 505 to 796 of the family's 1533-position model. The record is from RNAcentral.
GUGCCAGCCGCCGCGGUAAUACAGAGGGUGCAAGCGUUGUUCGGAAUUAUUGGGCGUAAAGCGCGUGUAGGCGGCUUGGCAAGUCGGGUGUGAAAUCCCUCAGCUUAACUGAGGAAGUGCGCCCGAAACUGCCGAGCUUGAGUACCGGAGAGGGUGGCGGAAUUCCCCAAGUAGAGGUGAAAUUCGUAGAUAUGGGGAGGAACACCGGUGGCGAAGGCGGCCACCUGGACGGAUACUGACGCUGAGACGCGAAAGCGUGGGGAGCAAACAGGAUUAGAAACCCCCGUAGUCC